Molecule: long non-coding RNA, 717 nt
Filed under: Homo sapiens (human)
Lineage: Eukaryota; Metazoa; Chordata; Mammalia; Primates; Hominidae
Description: non-protein coding LINC00599:21
Source: RNAcentral
AGUAGAUCCACUGCCUUUGGUUGGGCCGGCUGAAUCGCUGGGGACUGCGGCCAGUCUCUUAAAAAAGGAGAACAAAAAGCCGAAGACCUUGUGUGGCCGCCGGGACAAAGCACCUUGGGUUCGGCGAGAAGGGACGCGCAGGAGCGCUGAACCCAGAACACGCGUGGCCGCUGCGGAAGGGCGUCCGCCCGGCGUGCGGAACGCUGAGGGGACUCUCAUCCUCUGUCUCGCCCCCUUUUUUUGACCCGGGGAUCCAGCCGCAUUAUACACGAGUGACCUUUUAAAUCUACGUCCACCCUUUACCUGCGAGAGGACUGCAGCAGGCGAGUUCCGGAAGGCUGAAUCCCCAGGUCCCAGCCCCGGACCGCGGCAACUCGCCCCUGCGGCACGCCCGGCCCGGCUGCGCCCCCACUCAGCGAUGGAGGAAAAAGCCUGGAUGCGAAAGGAUGGGGGAGAACAAAGAGCCUUUGGAAGACGUCGCUGUUAUCUCAUUGUCUGUGUGAUUGGGGGAGCUGCGGCGGGGAGGAUGCUGUGGUCCCUUCCUCCGGCGUUCCCCACCCCCAUCCCUCUCCCCGCUGUCAGUGCGCACGCACACGCGCCGCUUUUUAUUUCUUUUUCCUGGUUUUCUUAUUCCAUCUUCUACCCACCCCUCUUCCUUUCUUUCACCUUUCCUUCCUUCCUUCCUCCUUUCCUUCCUCAGGAGAAAGGCCUCUCUCU